AUACUUUAAGAUUCAGAAAUACUUCAUUUUUGGCCCCUUCCCUCUUUCUUUUUACAAUAAAUUCUUCCUCCUUGUCUGGUGGGAGUGUGGCCAGAUGUGCUGCUGGAAAGAUCCCCCUGGACACAUUUGCUGCCGUGUGUCUGUUCAUCACCUUGCUGGGUCUCAUCCUCCCUCCGGCUGGAACAGUCUGCGUGGCAGCGAGGGAAUGGGGGUCAGCCUGCAGGACAUCGCGGGAACACGGGGAACCUCUGGCCACUUAGGGGAGUCUGCCAUUGAGAGAGGCGGAGAACAAUGAACAAAGAAGCAGAAUCCCACGGACACACUGCCCGGCACAUCUCCUCCUGUCAGCAGCCUCCAGCAGAGUAAAAAUGGUUGGUUAAGUGCAAGGUCGUUUUUAAAGAUGCAUCAGAAUUCAGACAAAGGAAUAACCCCCAAAGGCAUACUCAGAGACUUUCUCAGUCACCUGGUAAGGUUGCAGCCUCUUCACCUGUAUUCAGUGUGCUUGUUGGUUGGACUGUUCUCUCUUGUUCCCUGGGGACCUGUCUGGGAAAUGCCCAAAUUCCACUGGGAUAACUGCCGGCGAGCAUGGUGGACGAAUCUGCUGUUGCUAAAUAACUUUGUGUCGGUCAAGAAUGCAUGCAAUGGCUGGACCUGGUACCUUGCCAAUGACUUCCAGUUCCACCUCACCACACCAGUGAUUAUCUUCAUCCAUGUAAAGAGUACACAGAUCCUCAUCCUCCUUGGGGCCAUGCUGUUCUUGGCAUCUUUCACAGCCACUGCUCUGAUCACAUUGGCAUAUAAACUUCCUGUCGUGGCUCCAUCAGAAACCAGGUCCUCUCUGAACUCAACGUUGCCCAUUGAAACGCUUCUCAGAGGAAAGGAGCGCCCCCAUGUGGCUGUACUGUGUUUCUCCUCCAGCAGCCAAUGGCUGCUUGGUGGCUCUGUUGGAUGGAGAGACUGAACCUACCUCUUCAAGGUCACACAACUAGUAGGUGGCACAGGUGUGAUUUGAACCUAGAAGCCAAUCCACAGUGCUAUUUCCCCUCCCCAAUGAGGCAUGUAUGACACUUACACAGGAAAAACUGUUAUGAUUACCUGCUAAUCUUCUCUCAAUGCAGUGACACAAAUGAAAAUCAGAUUACGUCAGUCAUCUGCUCGAAUUCCUCCAGUGGCCUCAUUGGUCACCCUCCUACCUGCUGACACUGGACCAGCCACACCAACUCAUCUCAACGCACCAAGCACUUUCCCCGAACCCCCUUCCCCACCCUCCC
RNAcentral lists this long non-coding RNA (1271 nucleotides) under Pan troglodytes (chimpanzee). Its description in RNAcentral is "lncRNA (ENSPTRG00000054434.1)". Lineage: Eukaryota; Metazoa; Chordata; Mammalia; Primates; Hominidae. The record is from RNAcentral.